This 202-nucleotide unclassified non-coding RNA is filed under the name Hevea brasiliensis (rubber tree). The record is from RNAcentral. Lineage: Eukaryota; Viridiplantae; Streptophyta; Magnoliopsida; Malpighiales; Euphorbiaceae.
GGUAACUCGUGCUCUUCUUUUUCACAUGAAAGUUUCUAAACAUUUUUGGACGGAUGUAGUUUCUACGGCAUGUUUUUUUUAUCAAUCGUAUGCCGUUUUCUGUCCUUAAUGGAGAUAUUUCUUAUACUGCUUUUUUUCCUAUAAAAUCUUUGUUCCCUGUUGAAUCCGGUAAUUUUUAUUGUACCUGUUUUGUGUGUGAUGU